Molecule: long non-coding RNA, 1064 nt
Filed under: Eucalyptus grandis
Lineage: Eukaryota; Viridiplantae; Streptophyta; Magnoliopsida; Myrtales; Myrtaceae
Description: long non-coding RNA (EGRA_LNC005845)
Source: RNAcentral
AGAAAACCCGGUCUAGGCGCUACAAAAUUCCACUGACGGCAAUUUCAGUAAGUUGGGAUUGACGGAUCAGCCUUGACAGCAUAUUCAUGAAUUCCCCCAGACAAGUUGAAUACUCUCUUAAAACCCUGAAAAUUUUUGAGAUCGAAAUAAUGAGAAUAACUUUAAUUUUUUCCUCGACUCAAUGCUAUGCUGGACAGGCACCACAAAUUCGUACGGCUCAAUAUAGCUUUCUACAUCACACGCCAUACACACACGCAUAUAUAAAAGUAAAUAAACAUUGGAGGGAACGGAUUUUAAGUUUUACCUGUGCCUGCAACCACUUGGCAACUUGUAACGAUCGCAUUCCAUGGUGACACUGCAUUAUUAGAACAUCUUAACACAAGGAUAGGGCAGUUCAAAUUUCUAAAAGUGGAGGCAUUACAUGACAUCCAGCUAUACAAACACAUAGUGAAGCAAGAAAAUCAAUUGGGCCCUAAAUUAAAGUGAAUAAUUUCAAACACUAUUCAAUUUACCAGAAAAGGCUAGUAUGCUUUUACAAAGUAAAACUAACCUAGACAAUUAACAAGAUUGAUUUUGUUAUCAAGCAGAUUAGCAAAAGAGAAAAUUUUUGAUGACUUUUCCCUCUGAGAUUAACCAUUCAAUAUUGGGGGGGGGGGGGGGGGGUGUUGAGGAGGAGCAAGAGCAGGAAGAUCUUACAGAACAGAUUGACCUGGCUGAAGAAUUUUGAAAGAGUAAAUCUAUAUAAACUAGCAACUGAAUACACACAAAUGAACAUCUCCAACCAUAUGAGAGGCUAUUGCCUCAUCACUAGCCAGUCGGUAAAUCUAUAUACACUAGUACACUAGUCACAGAAGGACAAGGAUUCAUAAUAUAUUUUAAAAAAUAAAUGAGACACCAUUACUCUAAUUACUACACUGUUAGCAUCUUCACUGGAGUACACAAUACUAACAGUUGGCAGAAGCAAAGAUUGAACUGACCAUCACAUAAGUAUCCUUCUCAGUAUCUAACUUUGUAGUAAUUUCUGGUCCCCAACUGCCAAACUGACGAAGUGGAAGAACUUGAAA